AGUGAACGCUGGCGGUAGGCUUAACACAUGCAAGUCGAACGGCAGCACAGUAAGAUCUUGCUCUUACGGGUGGCGAGUGGCGGACGGGUGAGGAAUACAUCGGAAUCUACAUUUUCGGGUGGGAUAAGGUAGGGAAACUUACGCUAAUACCGCAUACGACCUACGGGUGAAAGCAUGGGAUCUUCGGACCUUGCGCGAAUGAAUGAGCCGAUGUCGGAUUAGCUAGUUGGCGGGGUAAAGGCCAACCAAGGCGACGAUCCGUAGCUGGUCUGAGAGGAUGAUCGGCCACACUGGAACUGAGACACGGUCCAGACGCCUACGGGAGGCAGCAGUGGGGAAUAUUAGGCAAUGGGCGCAAGCCUGAUCCAGCCAUACCGCGUGUGUGAAGAAGGCCUUCGGGUUGUAAAGCCCUUUUGUUGGGAAAGAAAAGCAGUAGGUUAAUACCACGCUGUUGUGACGGUACCCAAAGAAUAAGCACCGGCUAACUUCGUG
Molecule: ribosomal RNA, 492 nt
Filed under: uncultured bacterium
Lineage: Bacteria
Description: partial 16S ribosomal RNA
Rfam family: Bacterial small subunit ribosomal RNA
Source: RNAcentral